AUUGAACGCUGGCGGCAUGCUUUACACAUGCAAGUCGAACGGUAACAGGCCGCAAGGUGCUGACGAGUGGCGAACGGGUGAGUAAUGCAUCGGAACGUGCCCAGUCGUGGGGGAUAACGCAGCGAAAGCUGUGCUAAUACCGCAUACGAUCUAUGGAUGAAAGCGGGGGACCGUAAGGCCUCGCGCGAUUGGAGCGGCCGAUGUCAGAUUAGCUGGUUGGUGGGGUAAAGGCCCACCAAGGCGACGAUCUGUAGCUGGUCUGAGAGGACGACCAGCCACACUGGGACUGAGACACGGCCCAGACUACUACGGGAGGCAGCAGUGGGGAAUUUUGGACAAUGGGCGCAAGCCUGAUCCAGCAAUGCCGCGUGCAGGAAGAAGGCCUUCGGGUUGUAAACUGCUUUUGUACGGAACGAAACGGUCUGGGUUAAUACCCUGGGCUAAUGACGGUACCGUAAGAAUAAGCACCGGCUAACUACGUGCCAGCAGCCGCGGUAA
This 498-nucleotide ribosomal RNA is filed under the name uncultured bacterium. Its description in RNAcentral is "partial 16S ribosomal RNA". It matches the Rfam family "Bacterial small subunit ribosomal RNA", at positions 29 to 523 of the family's 1533-position model. The record is from RNAcentral.